GUCAGUUUCAACAUAAACCAUGUUCUCUGGAGCUCUGCUGCUGCUGUUGGCAGCUGGAUAUGUGAAGUGUGAACAGUUGACCCAGCCAGCCUCUGUGACUGUGCAGCCAGGUCAACGUCUGACCAUCACCUGUCAGGUCUCUUAUUCUCUCAGCAGCUACUACACAGCUUGGAUCAGACAGCCUGCAGGGAAAGGACUGGAGUGGAUUGGAAUGGCAGCAGUUGGAUCCACUACAUGCUUAAAAGAUUCACUUAAGAACAAGUUCAGUAUCAGCUUGGACUCUUCCAGCAAGACAGUGACUCUAAAUGGACAGAAUGUGCAGCCUGAAGACACUGCUGUGUAUUACUGUGCCAGAUACACACAGUAA
This is a non-coding RNA of Perca fluviatilis (European perch), 367 nucleotides long. Lineage: Eukaryota; Metazoa; Chordata; Actinopteri; Perciformes; Percidae. The record is from the annotation of a RefSeq genome assembly.